This 136-nucleotide ribosomal RNA is filed under the name Fusarium oxysporum. Its description in RNAcentral is "5.8S ribosomal RNA". It matches the Rfam family "5.8S ribosomal RNA", at positions 2 to 137 of the family's 154-position model. Rfam says of the family: 5.8S ribosomal RNA (5.8S rRNA) is a component of the large subunit of the eukaryotic ribosome. It is transcribed by RNA polymerase I as part of the 45S precursor that also contains 18S and 28S rRNA. Lineage: Eukaryota; Fungi; Ascomycota; Sordariomycetes; Hypocreales; Nectriaceae. The record is from RNAcentral.
ACUUUCAACAACGGAUCUCUUGGUUCUGGCAUCGAUGAAGAACGCAGCAAAAUGCGAUAAGUAAUGUGAAUUGCAGAAUUCAGUGAAUCAUCGAAUCUUUGAACGCACAUUGCGCCCGCCAGUAUUCUGGCGGGCA